UGGGGAAUCUUGGUCAAUGGGCGAAAGCCUGAACCUGCGACGCCGCGUGAGUGAUGAAGGUCGUAAGAUCGUAAAACUCUUUUCAGGGAUCUUAAAGCCUGUCUGUCAACACCAGGCAGGUCUGACUCUCCCUGGAAGAAGCCCCAGCCAACUACGUGCCAGCAGCUGCGGUAAUACGUAGGGGGCGAGCGUUAUUCGGAAUUACUGGGUGUAAAGGGCAGGUAGGCGGAUAUAUAAGUUUUGUGUUAAAGGCAUCGGCUUAACCGGUGUAAGGCAUAGGAUACUGUAUAUCUGGAAUGCGGUUGAGGAAGACAGAAUUCCUGGUGUAGCGGUGGAAUGCGCAGAGAUCAGGAGGAAUACCAAAGGCGAAGGCAGUCUUCUAAGCCGAUAUUGACGCUAAACUGCGAAGGGGUGGGUAUCAAACA
RNAcentral lists this ribosomal RNA (425 nucleotides) under uncultured prokaryote. RNAcentral describes it as "bacterial SSU rRNA". It matches the Rfam family "Bacterial small subunit ribosomal RNA", at positions 355 to 774 of the family's 1533-position model. The record is from RNAcentral.